Molecule: ribosomal RNA, 468 nt
Filed under: uncultured bacterium
Lineage: Bacteria
Description: partial 16S ribosomal RNA
Rfam family: Bacterial small subunit ribosomal RNA
Source: RNAcentral
GACGAACGCUGGCGGCGUGCUUAACACAUGCAAGUCGAACGGAAAGGCCCUGCUUUUGUGGUGUGCUCGAGUGGCGAACGGGUGCGUAACACGUGAGUAACCUGCCCUUGACUUUGGGAUAACUUCAGGAAACUGGGGCUAAUACCGGAUAGGAGCUCCUGCUGCAUGGUGGGGGUUGGAAAGUUUCGGCGGUUGGGGAUGGACUCGCGGCUUAUCAGCUUGUUGGUGGGGUAGUGGCUUACCAAGGCUUUGACGGGUAGCCGGCCUGAGAGGGUGACCGGCCACAUUGGGACUGAGAUACGGACCAGACUCCUACGGGAGGCAGCAGUGGGGAAUAUUGCACAAUGGGCGGAAGCCUGAUGCAGCAACGCCGCGUGCGGGAUGACGGCCUUCGGGUUGUAAACCGCUUUCGCCUGUGACGAAGCGUGAGUGACGGUAAUGGGUAAAGAAGCACCGGCUAACUACGUG